GAAACGACUGCUAAGACUGGAUAGGAAACAGAAGGAUAACCUUUUAUUUUUAAAAGACCUUCUUCGGAAGGUAUGCUUAAAGAAGGGCUUGCGCCACAUUAGUUAGUUGGUAGGGUAAAAGCCUACCAAGACUAUGAUGUGUAGCUGGACUGAGAGGUUGAACAGCCACAUUGGGACUGAGACACGGCCCAAACUCCUACGGGAGGCAGCAGUAGGGAAUUUUCGGCAAUGGAGGAAACUCUGACCGAGCAACGCCGCGUGAACGAAGAAGUAUUUAGGUAUGUAAAGUUCUUUUAUUGAAGAAGAAAAAAUAGUGGAAAAACUAUCUUGACGCUAUUCAAUGAAUAAGCCCCGGCUAACUAUGUGCCAGCAGCCGCGGUAAGACAUAGGGGGCGAGCGUUAUCCGGAAUUAUUGGGCGUAAAGGGUGCGUAGGCGGUUAGAUAAGUCUAUAAUUUAAUUUCAGUGCUUAACGCUGUUCUGUUAUAGAAACUGUCUAGCUAGAGUGAGAUAGAGGCAAGUGGAAUCCCAUGUGUAGCGGUAAAAUGUGUAAAUAUAUGGAGGAACACCAGAAGCGUAGGCGGCUUGCUGGGUCUUUACUGACGCUGAGGCACGAAAGCGUGGGUAGCAAACAGGAUUAGAUACCCUGGUAGUCCACGCCGUAAACGAUGAGUACUAAGUGUCGGGGUUAAACUCGGUACUGAAGUUAACACACUAAGUACUCCGCCUGAGUAGUACGUACGCAAGUAUGAAACUUAAAGGAAUUGACGGGACUCCGCACCAGCGGUGGAUCAUGUUGUUUAAUUCGAAGAUACACGAAAAACCUUACCAGGUCUUGACAUACUCUGCAAAGCUAUAGAAAUAUAGUGGAGGUUAUCAGGGAUACAGGUGGUGCAUGGUUGUCGUCAGCUCGUGUCGUGAGAUGUUAGGUUAAGUCCUAAAACGAGCGCAACCCUUGUCGUUAAUUGCCAGCACGUUAUGGUGGGGACUUUAGCGAGACUGCCAAUUAAAAAUUGGAGGAAGGUGAGGAUUACGUCAAAUCAUCAUGCCCCUUAUGAUCUGGGCUACAAACGUGAUACAAUGGCUGUUACAAAGAGUAGCUGAAAUGCGAGUUUUUAGCCAAUCUCAAAAAAGCAGUCUCAGUUCGGAUUGAAGUCUGCAACUCGACUUCAUGAAGUUGGAAUCGCUAGUAAUCGCGAAUCAGCAUGUCGCGGUGAAUACGUUCACGGGGUUUGUACACACCGCCCGUCA
This 1249-nucleotide ribosomal RNA is filed under the name 'Camptotheca acuminata' witches'-broom phytoplasma. Its description in RNAcentral is "bacterial SSU rRNA". It matches the Rfam family "Bacterial small subunit ribosomal RNA", at positions 153 to 1399 of the family's 1533-position model. Lineage: Bacteria; Bacillati; Mycoplasmatota; Mollicutes; Acholeplasmatales; Acholeplasmataceae. The record is from RNAcentral.